GAUGAACGCUGGCGGCGUGCCUAAUACAUGCAAGUCGAGCGAACGGACGAGAAGCUUGCUUCUCUGAUGUUAGCGGCGGACGGGUGAGUAACACGUGGAUAACCUACCUAUAAGACUGGGAUAACUUCGGGAAACCGGAGCUAAUACCGGAUGAUAUUUUGAACCGCAUGGUUCAAAAGUGAAAGACGGUCUUGCUGUCACUUAGAGAUGGAUCCGCGCUGCAUUAGCUAGUUGGUAAGGUAACGGCUUACCAAGGCAACGAUGCAUAGCCGACCUGAGAGGGUGAUCGGCCACACUGGAACUGAGACACGGUCCAGACUCCUACGGGAGGCAGCAGUAGGGAAUCUUCCGCAAUGGGCGAAAGCCUGACGGAGCAACGCCGCGUGAGUGAUGAAGGUCUUCGGAUCGUAAAACUCUGUUAUUAGGGAAGAACAUAUGUGUAAGUAACUGUGCACAUCUUGACGGUACCUAAUCAGAAAGCCACGGCUAACUACGUG
RNAcentral lists this ribosomal RNA (497 nucleotides) under uncultured bacterium. RNAcentral describes it as "partial 16S ribosomal RNA". It matches the Rfam family "Bacterial small subunit ribosomal RNA", at positions 28 to 507 of the family's 1533-position model. The record is from RNAcentral.